Manihot esculenta (cassava) is the source of this 6178-nucleotide long non-coding RNA. RefSeq lists it as uncharacterized. The transcript is spliced from 2 exons. Lineage: Eukaryota; Viridiplantae; Streptophyta; Magnoliopsida; Malpighiales; Euphorbiaceae. The record is from RefSeq and is a predicted model, not a curated record.
UUAUUUAUUAACAUCUAACAUUAUAAUUUAUAGUUUUAUUUUUAUAUAUCAAGCAAGGAAAAUACAUAUACAUCUAAAAAUAGAAUGAGUUUAUAGAAAAACCUGAUGAUGAGGAUGAGAUGUUCAAAAAAAUAGAAGGAGAUGAAAAUGGAGAUCAAAGUAUGCUUGAGGCCGAGAUUACGGUAUGCUGGAGAUUUUAUGGUAUGCUGGAGAUGGAGACUGGAGGAGGGAAGUGUGGAGAUGGAGACUGGAGAAGGGAAGUGUGGAAAAGGAGAAGGAGAAGGAGAAGAAGAGAGGAAAGAAUGCUUGGAUUAAAAAUGGGGAAAAUGGGGGAGAUGAGAGAGACUUUGGCUUUAAAAGCCAAAGUCGAGACCUGAAUGUACGAAAAAGUGUCCGGCACUUAUGGUGCCGAACACUUUUUCUUGACCCCAACUGAUUAAAGAAUUGCUUUUGGUCAAGUCUCCUUAAGGCUUCGUCAGCGGUUCAGAGAUUCUCUGAAUCCCUGACGAAGCCUUGAAUGCUGCUGGACAGGCGUGUUGGGCACCCAUCUCUAAACUCCUGACGAAGCCUUGGAUGGUGCUGGACAGGCAUGUUCGGCAUCCAAAGUGCCGAACACGCCGCGGACACAGGGCAGCUUGUUCGACAGUCACUCUCUAGAAUCCGAAAAUAUUUCGGGAUCUGCCUGAAUUGCUAAUUAUUUUUUUUAUUAUACAUGAAAAAAAGCUCCUGAAACUGCAACAAAAUACAAAUGGAGAAGAGAGACGCCGAAAUGUCGUCGUUGUCGUCGCUAAUAGCGGAGAUGGGAGACGCCGGUGGCAAGUUCUGGAAAUCGCUGUCAUGGAGACCACCAACCACGCCCUAUGCUCGCUCAUCGCCGAACCAGGCGCAGGGAGGCAGGUGGCUCUCCAAGCUGGUCGAUCCUGCUUUCCGUCUUGUAGCUGGCGCCACCGCCCUGACUUUCCCUCCCUUUUUCUCCAAAUUGCAAUCCGUCAAUGCACUACCAGCUCCCAGCGGCGGAGUCGAUGCCUCGUUUACUGAGGUGGGACAAAAUGCUAGUGGCGAUAAUGGCGAUUUCGUUUGGAAUUAAGGUCUUCCACAGUGUCCUGAUAUCUUCCUUCUGCAAAUCUGAGCCUCAACUAUGCUUGUUCUACUUAUGAGUUGCCUUCUCAUGUGUUAUUCCUGCUAAUUUAUUACUGGUUAAUAUAGGAGAUGCAGUGAGCAGGAAACUUGAGGAAAAUACUAAUGGAGUGAAUCAGUAGGUACUUGUUUUGUUUUGACAUAAUGGAGCUCUAAAACAAAGACUUUUUGUGGAUCCCAAUUGGCCCCUGCAUUCAAAUUUAGUGAACGUGUCAAAGCAAUUCCAUGUUGAACUUGCUCUUCUUGAACCUUAUGUGAACUGCGACAAGUGAAGUUAUGCUUACAGAAAAUUCUUACUGCUGUCUAAAGAUUUCACUCUCUCUUGUUUGAAGAUUAGACCUAUUGAAAGGCUGCUAAGCUGCAUUUACUUUUAUAAUGCCACCAAAUGAAGUUUAGAAAGCAUUUCCAGCUAAACUUACAAAAACUAAUAUCUACCUUUUCCUCAAAUCACAGAUAAGAAUAAGCUAUCUUUGGAACUUAACUUACCCCCCUCCCUAGGCAAAAGUAAAAGGAGCAGUAAAAACAAAACAAAAGGAGUGCUGCCUGCUAUCCAACAUGAGGUCAAUUAUUUAUCUUUUUCUACUAUAUACAUUGUGUUUCCUUAAUUAGUUGAGAAGCAUAUAGUGUUUCCUUAAUUAUUUGAGAAGCAUAUUUUGCUUUAACUUUCUUUUUUAUGGAGUAGCUAUUUCUCCAUACUUGUUGGGUCAAUAGUCUGCCUGUGCCUUCUGCUUUCUCUAAGUGCAGAGAACAGUUACUAGUUACUAGUAGCAUUUCAAAUUCACAUAAUUCCAACUCAUUUUCAUGGGUAUGCCAUGCCAUAUUUGCUCUUUUAUGAAAAAUCGGUUACUUUUAAUCAAUGUCUUUGGAUAACAAUAAAAGAUAAUUCUAAUGGCUUAUCAGGAUUCAGAGUAUAUGUUUUUGUUUUCUUUUGCUCUUUUGAACUCUUGCACUGUGAUUGACAUAAACAUGAAGUUCUAUUAUAUGCUUGUGUUGUACUGCUGGAACUAUUUGCCAAAAGUAUCCAUAUUUGAUUGACAUAUCUUGAACUUGUACCAAAAAGUUAUCUCACUACAUAAGCAAUGACGGUGCUGUACGACUUGUGCCUUUUCUGCGAAGAAAGUGUUCUGACUGCGAGGAAAUAUUAUUUUGCAGCAUGUUGAAUGAAAAGCAACUGGAGUAGCCAGUAGUAGCUGUGUAGCACUUAGAUCAAAUAGCCACACUUGACUUUAUUGGGCACGGCCAAAAUUAAAAAGUUAAUGUUUCUGAUCCUAGUGGGCUCUCUGAAAUCAAUGAACUAGUGAAGGAUGAAAGACAUUCCAGGUUAAUUACAUCCGUUGUUGUUAUUUAUUUGUUUUGAACAGCAAACAUUCUUUGUUUAUAUUUGUCUUUACGACGUGAAACAUGGCCUUUUGUUUUGCAUUUUCCCUACAACAUCUACAAGCUAAUGUGGAAUUUGACUGCUAUAAUUUGAUAUGAAAACAUUUCUCUAAUUUCUAUCCAUCUUGUCAUCGGGAUGAAAUUCACCAUCUAAUAGAGAAUAAAUUCAAGGGCUGAUGAUCUUUCUGAGGUUGAGCUAGAACAUAAGUUUUUCAUAAUAAAUAUGGGAGAUCUUAGAGGAUCUGCUGUUGCCCUUGAAUAUUCAGGGAAGUCAACUGAAGCAAAGAAAGAAGAUUUGCAUGGUGCUGUUUAACAAACUCCAAAAAUUAAGAAGAGUAUUUGAGUGAAUUUUCAGUAGAUGCUGGAAAGCUUGCAAAUUCCCUUGAAAUUUCAACGUUUAGAGUUAUUUGGAAAACCUAAACCCCUGUUCUGCAGUUGAAAGUAAGUAGCAUAAAUUAUCAUAAUCAACUUGAAGUUCACUUUGUUAACAUGUUUUUAAUACCAGCUUUGUUAGUCAUAAUAGCUUGUUUGACUCAAUACACAUCCUAGGCCAUGUAUUAACCACUGGAUUCCUUGUAUUAGAGAAGCAUUAUUGUCGAUGAUUGGGGUAGUAUAUAUCGUUAUCUGACCUUCUUUGUAGCCUCUAAUAUAUUUAAUAUGUAUGAUCUAUGUUCCAGCACAUGUACUACUAAAAAUAAGGUCAAGUUAGAUGGCCUUUGCAUCAGAAAUAAGAAGAGCUACAGACAGGACACUUGGAACCAAAAAGAACAUAGGGAGAUGUGAAAAAAGAAAACUGUAAUGUUGGUGACACAUGUGACUUCUAAUUUCUAUUUCUACAAUGUCUACUUUUUAGCUGCUAAAAGAUGGUUGAGUUGUGUAUAUGAAUCUUGUUGUAUCUUGACUUAUGAUAAGACAAGUACAUUGAAAUUUUAUAAAUUUUUUGUUUGCUUGAUAUAUAUCCAUUGAAAUUUUGAUAAUUGUUUUCUAUCUUAUAGCUACAAGAUGAUGUUGGUACAUCACCAGUUGAAAUUGUGAGAGAAUAUAUGGAAAAUCAAACAUCAGAAGUAGGUUUUGGUACUAACAGCUAGUGUCAUAAGAUGGAGGAACAUUAGCUCGAGAUGAUGAGCAUGCAGUAAAACCUUUUAUUCCAUGACCUGUCCCUAAGACAUCUUCAUGCUGGCUAGGUGCCUUGGUACAGGAUCAGUGUGGGUAUGUGACCCCACAAAGUCGGAGACGGAGAUUUGGCCUUCACAAUUUUCCCCAAAUCCCUUAUACUAGAACUAUUUAUAAAAGACUAAGUCCAAAGUAUGCAGAAUUGUGGUUUUAUGUUAUGGUAGUUAUGCUUUAACAUGAGUUAUUGCAGAUGUGAUGAUUGUUUUCUUUUUGUCUCUUCAAAUGAUUCAGUUACAGGGCGAUAGUAAUAGGCUCCUAAACACAACCACUACUCACUUUCAGCAUACUCGAACUUCAUCAUUUCUAUUGGUAAUCUCUCCAUAUUAGCAGGCCCCAAAUUUGUUUGUCUUGAUGGCAAUGGGAUCUAUUCUCUAUUAUGCUCCUUCAUGGUAUUUAUUGUUUUAAAAUAUUUUAGAAUUAUAACAGUGGCACCUCUUUGAUCCCCUCUAGUGAUUUUUUGGAUUGAAAAUCAUGAAAACUUAGAUUAUGGGAUGGAGGUUCGUGUGCAAAUAUGUUUGCACAUGUGCAGCUGACAUUUGAAGUGAUUCUAGUUUUGUUAAUUAGACAAAAUUAUGUAAGUUUUACUUUGUAGUUGAUCUGUUUUAGACUCAUCAUUGGGACUGGGGGGAAUAUCAGAUGCACGGGAAAUAAAAAAUGAUUCUAAUUCUUGUCCUUAAACAAGUUUUUUGUUUUUAACUCAAAAAUAACUUUGUUUUUUUGUUGUGUAUGUCAGAACAUUUUUUUCCUAAGCAUCUAUUAUCUACUGUGUAGCUUCUUGAGAUUUUGAAAAAGUACUGAUGCUAGAAGCAUUAUGAAAAUGGUGGAAGAAGUGCUCUUCUUUUCUUUUCUUAUCUUUUUAUCCUCUGCUGAUUUUGUAAAAUUUUGAAGUUUUGUUGAAUAAUGUUUUAGGAUUAUCCUUAUUUUCAUAAUUUGGAGUGCACAGGUAAAAGUUCAAGGGCGAAUGCAUUAAAUAAUGGCCAUGGAUCUUUGCAGCCCAGUCGUAGAAUAUGGAUUCUCCUUCUAUAAGAUCUGGUUAUUUUCAUACUUGUUUUAAAGUCCUCAGGUUGAGAUCUUCAGUAUUUAAGAGGGCUCCUUUUCCACACAAAGACUUGUUUGGAAAAUGGAGGAACAAGUAGCUCCGCAAAAUAUCAGACUUUAAGCAGUAAGCCACAAAGCUCUGGGGUCAGUGUCCCAACUGUUCUUGCACAUGCUAGUUUGGUGGCUUGGAAAAUAUUAGAUCACCUUGAGAGAAAUCCAUCCACGGUAAAGGUAAAUCUGCUGGCUUGAGGCUAGCCACUUCAUGGAAGAGAAACCUCAGUCCUCUGAUCCAGCAACUACUGUGUCCAGCAAUCUUAAUAGCCCAACCUUAUUGGGAGUUCUAGGUUCUUCUGAAAAAUCCAAUCAUGUUCGAAAAAUAAUCCUUGGGAGCCCGUUAAUGGUGUUAAUGACUUAAUGCCUCUAUAAAUGAUAACACCAACUUUAUAAAUGAAAGUUGGUACAGCUUCAAUAAAUGGUGACUACGUAGGGCCUUCACAAGAUUCCAGAUAACUCUGGGAUUCUCAGCUUACAAGCGUGAAUGAGGAAUUUACUAACCUUUGCAUUUGGUUCUUUGCAGAGUAUAAUAUGAAGUUGCCAAAUUCAAGUGUUGCAAAACACCAGGCAAGCCCAUCAAUUUAUAAAUAGAUAUAUGUUUUUUUUUGUACUGCUAAAUGGAUACAUGUUUAAUAGUUCUUAUUGCAUCCUUUUUCCAAGUCCAUCUUGAAUCCGGUCAUUUUUCUGCAAUUUCACUCCGAUUUUGUGCGAGGCAAGGACGGAUAUAAGGUCUUCCCACUCCGAAUGUGCAUAACCUGCUUUAUUAAUACUUUUAUCAUUUUUUAUUAAAAUAUUUUAAUCUUUUUGUUAAAUAUUUAAAUACAAAGAUGUUAUUUUUUUUUUGUUAAUUAAGAACUCUAUGCAUAUAAUUAAUGUUAUCUGAGUCACUGAUCAUGUCAUUAUUCUCAUCCAUUCAUACAUAUAAUUACUGUAUGCAUCAAAUUCAAUAGAAUGAGGGAUCAUUGAUAUAAUUUUGGUUCAUGGAGAUUGAAGCUGAGAUAUACAUGUCCUUAUAGGGCAUGGAUUAUUUCAUGGUCAGUCCAUGUUGGCCCAAAAGUAAGUUUUAGUAUAGAUAUUGAGACUGGGGGAGACAAGUGGUGACCCAGAUGUUAAGAUGAGCUAGUAGGCAGAGCAAAUUCUGAUCACAAAUUGAAGAAUUUAGAACAUGAUGCCACAGGAAUCACAUGUUUGCUCCCAUUUUCAUUACAAGAAGAACUUAUCCCCAUUUCAGCUAAGUUUGUCUGUCACCUUGUGGACCCAACUUAUCCCCAUUUCAGCUAAGUUUGUCUGUCACCUUGUGGACCCUUUCUUCUUCUUCAUUGUAUCCUUUUCCUUAUUGCUCUUUAUAUGAUAUUGUUUAUUAAGGUUGUUUAAGCAACUAAUCUACCUUUAUUCCUUG